CCUACGGGUGGCAGCAGUGGGGGAUAUUGGUCAAUGGGGGAAACCCUGAACCAGCGACGCCGCGUGAGGGAAGACGUAUUUCGGAUUGUAAACUUCUGUCAGCUGGGAAGAUAAUGACGGUAGCAGAGGAGGAAGCUCCGGCUAACUACGUGCCAGCAGCCGCGGUAAUACGUAGGGGGCAAGCGUUGUCCGGAUUUACUGGGUGUAAAGGGUGCGUAGGCGGCCUUGCAAGUCAGAAGUGAAAGCCAUGGGCUUAACCCGUGGACUGCUUUUGAAACUGUUGGACUAGAGUGAAGGAGAGGCAGGUGGAAUUCCUGGUGUAGCGGUGAAAUGCGUAGAGAUCGGGAGGAACACCAGUGGCGAAGGCGGCCUGCUGGGCUGUAAAUGACGCUGAAGCACGAAAGCGUGGGGAGCAAACAGGAUUAGAUACCCGAGUAGUC
Molecule: ribosomal RNA, 440 nt
Filed under: uncultured bacterium
Lineage: Bacteria
Description: partial 16S ribosomal RNA
Rfam family: Bacterial small subunit ribosomal RNA
Source: RNAcentral